UGCCCUCGGAUCCUCCGGCGAAGACUUCCACCGGAUGCCCCGGGUGGGCCGGUUGGGAUGAGACUGGACCACCCCGGACCGUGCUGUUCUUGGGGGUGGGCUGACGUACGGGGUGGACUGGCGGCCCCAGCAUUGUAAAGGCACACAGAUGAGACGCGUGAGAGGGAGAAACAGCUCAAUAGAUACUGCUGACCUUCAUUUGUGGAAUCCUCAGUCGUCUACACACAAGACAGUACGCAGGCUGAGUAAAACCCACCCCACCCUCCACCCGUUGGCUGACGAAACCCCUUCUCUACAAUGGAUGAAAAAGAUGAUCUGGGCCGGGCACGCUAGCUCACGCCUGUCAUUCCGGCACUUUGGGAGGCCGAGGCCGGUGGAUCGCUUGGGGCCGGGAGUUGGAGACCAGGCUGGCCGACGUGGCGAAACCCCGUCUCUACUGAAAAAUAGAACGAUUAGCCGGGCCUGGUGGCGUGGGCUUGGAAUCACGACCGCUCGGGAGACUGGGGCGGGCGAGUUGUUCCAACCGGGGAGGCCGAGGUUGCGAUGGGCUGAGAUCGUGCCGUGGCGAUCCAGCCUGGAUGACGGAGCGAGACCCCGUCUCGAUACAAUCAUGAUGUUAUUAUAAGAUGAGUUGUGCGCGGUGAUGGCCGCCUGUAGUCGCAGCUACUCGGGAGGCUGAGAUG
Molecule: long non-coding RNA, 683 nt
Filed under: Pan paniscus (pygmy chimpanzee)
Lineage: Eukaryota; Metazoa; Chordata; Mammalia; Primates; Hominidae
Description: lncRNA (ENSPPAG00000044248.1)
Source: RNAcentral